This 484-nucleotide ribosomal RNA is filed under the name uncultured bacterium. Its description in RNAcentral is "partial 16S ribosomal RNA". It matches the Rfam family "Bacterial small subunit ribosomal RNA", at positions 30 to 507 of the family's 1533-position model. The record is from RNAcentral.
AUUGAACGCUGGCGGAAUGCUUUACACAUGCAAGUCGAACGGCAGCACGGGGGCAGCCCUGGUGGCGAGUGGCGAACGGGUGAGUAAUACGUCGGAACGUGCCCGGUCGUGGGGGAUAACGUAGCGAAAGUUACGCUAAUACCGCAUACGAUCUGAGGAUGAAAGCGGGGGACCUUCGGGCCUCGCGCGAUCGGAGCGGCCGAUGUCAGAUUAGGUAGUUGGUGGGGUAAAGGCCUACCAAGCCGACGAUCUGUAGCUGGUCUGAGAGGACGACCAGCCACACUGGGACUGAGACACGGCCCAGACUCCUACGGGAGGCAGCAGUGGGGAAUUUUGGACAAUGGGCGCAAGCCUGAUCCAGCCAUUCCGCGUGCAGGACGAAGGCCUUCGGGUUGUAAACUGCUUUUGUACGGAACGAAAAGGCUCUGGCUAAUACCUGGGGCUCAUGACGGUACCGUAAGAAUAAGCACCGGCUAACUACGUG